Molecule: long non-coding RNA, 810 nt
Organism: Oncorhynchus nerka (sockeye salmon)
Lineage: Eukaryota; Metazoa; Chordata; Actinopteri; Salmoniformes; Salmonidae
Exons: 3
Source: RefSeq, a predicted model, not a curated record
GCAGUGCGGCUUGGCUGGGUUGUGUUUCAGAGGACGUACAGCUCUCGACCUUCGCCUCUCCGGAGUCCGUACGGGAGUUGCAGCGACGAGACAAGACUAACUACCAAUUGAAUACCACAAAGUCCCAUCUCCUAGCACCUCAGAAUUUUCCCCAUGGGCCAACUAGCAAUCUAGACCGUGUAAGUACACAUACUUCAAGCCUGCUUAUCGCUGUGUGGAGGAGAAGCAUGAGCUGCAGUGGCUCGACGCCACCAAAUGCUUCUUCAAGGGCCCCUGUGGAUAGAGAGCCAUUGCACUGGACCACCUGCCACACAAACACUGCAGUAACUGUGUCCUGUUCAAAUGGGAAAGAGACGGCAUGUUGAAGGUAAGUGUCGCGUUUUAGUGGGUUUGGAGUUCAGAUGGACCCAAAGCACUUCCUUCUCCCAUCUGAUUGGUCCCGGGUUUGACUACUACUUCCUGUUCCUGUCCACGGGAGAAGUCAGGGCCUAAGAUAGCUGGGGAGCUGCUGAAGCCUCGAGGUGACGAGCAGCCCAAGUUCCUCAACGGCAUGCUGUAGUCCUCAGUCACUUACAGUCACCUUCAUCAUUGUCUUCAUCAUAGGAAGCGACUGCUGCUGGUGCUAUUGGACUUUCUGGUGUAUAUUUCUCUGCAUGUUGUAUGGUGUUUUUUUACUGUGGAUAUAAUUUGAAGCUGAUUAUGGAUUUUAAAUUGCUGUGUUUUGAAUGGAUUCAAUUGUAUUUCCGAAUGAGUUGUUUGUUGUUCCCUCCUGCUGGCUUUGAUGGGAAUGUGCUGAUUAAAUCGUGCUGA